CACGCCUGCGCGGCCCCGCCUGUGGCGGCGCACGGCCGGGAGGCGGGGUCGCCGCGCUAUCCGCGCCUGCCGGGACUGUGGGAAUGAAGAAGCAAAAGGCAAGAAAGUUGCAGGACACACACAGCCCUUAAAGCAGCAUAGCAGUACCACUCCUUUGGGAAAGGAAGGCAUUCCAAACUGGGGUAUCAGUAAAGUACCACUACUGCUGGCUGGAGAGAGGGAGAAUCUGAAGGGGUCUGGGUUUAUGGAUGAUUCACAAAAACCAUAAACCUUCUCCCCAUCUAUUGAUUGGAAAAAAUUUGGAAACAGAACUGUUUCUUGGAAAAGCAGGGUUUUCAAAAGCAAAAGUUUUCACAGGAAUGUACCACUUUUUUUUUUGCCAAGCAAAAAAAGUCCUAUGUUCAGAAAUUUAUGGAAAAGGACAAAGGAGAGGAAAGACACUGGGAUCAAUCUCAGAAUAUCAUGAAGGUAGAGUACUUGCACAAAUAUGAGAGACCAUUCUAAGACCUCUUUGAAGGAACAGUUAAUUAUUUCUAGAUUAUUCUACCAUGAGACACCCUUCUCCUUAGAGUCUGGUGUAGAGCCCUGUCUUGUGGCAUGGGAAUAUUGACUUACUCCUAGAUCUUCCUUCUUAGGGGGUGAAGAAUUAAUAUAACUAAAUAUUGUAUUAAUUCAAACUCAAAGACUACAAUGGCUUAAGGAAGAAAACUGGGAUUGAAGAGGAUCUCAAUAGAUCAUGUAUUCCACUCCCUGCACUGAGCACAAGAAGUGGACUGGAUUAUAGAAAUUUGGAGCAGGGACGUGUUUAUGUGGUAUCCCUCUUCUUUCUCUUUUUGGAAGAAAAAUGUAACUUAGAGUAAAGAAAAAGAGUAAAAAGGAAGAUUGUCAUUUGUACCAACUCUCCAGAAUUAAUGCUCAUGAAACUGAACUCAUAGAUUUUUUUCCUUUUGUUAUCUUUGAUUUCUCAUCAGAACAUCUGACUAUAGUAUUUAAUCAGAAAUCCUGAGUGUGUCAAGAAGUGUACAUGAAAUCAUGACAGAAUUAUUGGUGUUUUCCGUCCCAAAGCAUCCAUCAGUAGCAGUGUUCUCUAGUCUCCCAAUAUGUAAAGGUCUACUCUAUUCCUGAAGUUUCCAGAUCAGCACUAAGUCUUGUGAAACUAAAACAUCAGAAGACAUCUGAUCUCAAAAGGAUCCUAAUUUCUUCUUGUACCAAAUACCUUCCUUAGACAUUUGGAUUUAGUAGCCAUGCCAUGUUUUGGCAUUGAGGGUUGCUGGCCUCCAUGUUCUCCUGCUUUCUGCUUUACCUGUACAAACACCAGGAAACCAUCCAGCUGUAGAGCGUUCCAGGGCUGGUGAGACUUUUGUCCUGCUCAGCAGCGCAGACAUCAUGCAAGUUCCUUCUCAUCAUUCGUGUAGGAUGGAGAAGUCCAAAGACAUAGAAAUUCCAUGUCACCUCUUGCCUCCAUGGAGCUAGUCCCAAAAUUCCUGAAACCUGCGUCCCAAGGAAUUCUUAACCCAUAGCAAAAUACAGGUUCCUUCCUAGAUGUGUGUUGCGGUGCUGUCAUCUAGUGGCAAGGAUGAAUUGGAUGUCAUUCAGUGACAGUGGAUGACAAGGUGUCCCUUUGCUGGAACAAAAUGCCUGAUGUUAGAGUUCACAGCUUCGUAGGUGCAGCCCCAAGGCAAAGGUCCCAUCCUUGGUUUGUGCUCUGCAGGAAAUCACUGCAGAGAGCCUGUGGAAUGGGCUGAGCAAUGGACAUCUAGUUGCAGACAACAGGCUGUAAAACACCAUAGCAUCUCCUGCCAUGUCCUUCCUCUCCAUCUCCUGUCAUCCAUCUUGGCUGUUAACUGUUUGCAAAUACUUGAAGCUGAAUUUCCAGCAGUGAUUGAUAGUUUCUUAACAAAAGCCAUUUGGAGCAGUGUCAGCUAAUGAAAUGAGUCAUUAAAUCUAUAAUAAUCUAAGCUCAAGAAGAUACUUCUCUCAGCAAAAAAGUCCUUCCUCCUGCAUUCAUUUUUUAAUUGACUCGGGGAAAAAUUAAAAGUGCCACAAUGAAGUUUUCCAGGAGAAACCAGACAAAACCAGCUUUCAGAAUGACCCACAUUUGGUUUGGUGUUUGGAAAGCUCACUGAUGUCAGCAGACAGAGUUACUGACAUCAAUUUCUGAGGGCUUUUAUUCAGAUUGGGAAUUUCAUAUGGCAGGUGAUGUUACACUUCCUUGUGCUGGGUUGGCAACAUUAUUAUUAACACAUGUAAACAUUUACAGUUCUGAGUUUAUUUUAACACUUAAAUUGCAAUGCUUGAUUUAAUGUCUUGCAUUAAUGUCUGUAAAAUUAUUAUAAAAUUAUGCAGAAAGUAAUAACCUUUAACAAUAUAACUGGCCACAACAUCUAUGACACCUCCUUGGCAUCACCUGCUGAACACUGCUGGGCUUGUCUGGAUUAAGCAAAACAGUUGUAGUUUAUUCUUUGCUCCUUGAAAUGCUGAUCCCAAAACCAUUUUGACAGGAACCCUGACAGCUGCUUUUUAGAACUUACCACCACAGAGGUGGGGUCUUCAUAGAUAUCAGACUUUGGAAAGAAAAGCUCAAGAAGCAAUCUGCACUGCAAAGCACCAUUGUAUAAAAUCUUCUUUCAUCCCUGCUACAUGAAGUCAACAAAUAAUCCUAAAAUUCCUUUUCAUGAGGAAGUUGGAAUUUGUGUUUAUAUUUCCAUCUUACAGUACAAAUUGUGCUCUAUCUCUAAAUUUAGAAUGAUUCCUCAAUUCAGCCAAGUACAAUAAAUCUCCAAGCAAAGAGAAGGAUGUGCUGAUGUUCUUUAGUGACAAGGGAUAUUUAAGCACAUUCUUAAAUAACUUCUCUCUCUGAAGUCUUCAGUAGAUUCUCAAAGGAGUGAAAGAAUGAUGCUCUAAUUGCGACCUUUCUUGUUUUGUCCAAGUCCCAGACCUCUAUCCCUAUAGUAAAGAAAAAUAUUAAUGAAGGUAAGAAACAUUCUGUUUUUCAAAUUUUUAUAAUUAGUCAGGGGCAGUAUAUCAAUGACCUUCUGUAUUGGAGUGUGAUAAGACGUUUCUCUGUAAGUUCCAGAAGAGGGUUGGUUUAUUUUUUGCUCAGAAUUUCAUUUUCCUUGGGUGCCUUAUAGAAACAAAAUUGCAUCUUUUUAAUUAGGAAAUUGAAUGACAAGCUGUAACAAGAUCAAUCAGGUUGAAAUAGCUGCAUGCUUAGUAUAAUGUAACUGCUUCUUUUAUUGACUUAUAAUAUCUUGAUAUAGUAAAUUUUAUAUAUGAAUAAAGUUUUUUAAAAAUAGAAGGUUUAGGUCAAAUACAAUGAGUGAAAGUGUAUGUGCUUGUAUAAAAAAAGGAAGGCUAGGCCUUCAUACAGAAAUAGAAAAAAAUACCAACUCUUUGUUAGCAACAGUUAAGAAUGAUUUAACAGGUAUACUCAAAAAAUAAAAGUGGAAAAGAUGUCUCAAGCAUUCCAGUGUCACCUUGAAACAGUUGGUCAGGGCAUUUUUGACAAUGACACUUGAAAUAAGAUUGGGUUAAAAGCAGUAUGUGAAGAAAGAUGAGAGCUGCCAUUCACUGCCAGGGUAACUACAAUUCUAUUUCACUACUGAAUGUUGCUUUUCAUGAAUAACCAUUUGCACAUAUGCUUUACCCUUUUAGCAGCCAUUCUUUAUAUGUUCCAAUUUCUUUGAGAGGAGGAUGUUUGUGUCUGUUCACAAAUCUAAACCAUGCUCAAGGUCUGUGUUCGGGUUGUUCACAAUCCCUACACAAACAGGCAGAGAUUGGCAGCUCUGACACGGGAUGGAGGAAUGUCUUGUGAACCCUUAUUUUUCUUCACUUAUAAAUUUCUAAUUUCCGCUUCGGAGUGACAAAGGGCAAAAAGAUGCAAGGAUAUCUUGAGUUUGACUCCAUUGUUUCUCCAUUUGAUUACCUGUGGAAAUAAAAGCAUAAUCAUUCCAUGUACUGUCAUAAUCAUCUCUCAGCCUCCUACUUGCACAUUUAUUUCUAUUUGUCUAAGCAUGGGAAAAGGCCCAUAGAAUUCUAUCCUUGCUGAUUAUAUUUUCGUAUUGAUAAUCCUUGUUUUGACUUAAUUCUUUCUGAAGAUGCUCUUAAAAUGCAGAUCUCAGAUAGUGUUACUUGCUGUAUGAGGCAGCUUUCAAGUUGUCUUUCCAUUUUACCUCUUUCUGAGCAUACAGGAGAUUUUUUUUUUCCAAUUCUUUUCAGUUCCAGAACAGACAUUAAAACUUCUUUUAUUCAUAAACAUAUUCAGCUUGGGCUUUGCAAACUUUCAGUCUUUGUCCUACAAGAACAUCACCACAGAACUUUUCAUGUUAUCUAUGCAUUUAGGUACCAUUGAGCUCAUAUAAUGGAUCUCUUAAAAUGUAUUCAUGAUGAGGAUGGAUUAUUUUUAGUACUUGGAAGAAAAAAAUUAUAUCUAUAUGUGUGUGUGUGUGUGUGUGUGUGUUUGUGUGUGUGUGUGUGAAAAUACUGUCUACUUCACAUACUCGAAUUUGGUUAAAUUCCAAGAAAAUUGAAUUUUCAUAUAUAUCGUUUCCUUUAUUAGAUGAGUGUGCAUUCCUACACCCACAGAGAAUCUGUACAAAUUCAUGUUAUGUUCCUUGGGUGUGCAAACAAUACCAAAAAAUAGUCAAAGUUAGCAUAUUCUAUAUAAAACACGUUUGCAUCUGCUACGCACAGCUUCCUACGCUCUUCAUCUUUAAUUUAGCAAUGGCUGGAUGAUGAAGUCAUCGAGCCUUAGGAAUGUGCUCAGGUCAGGGUCUGAAGCUUUAUACUUCAUCCAAAUACCAUUUGGUUUGGCCCCUUUUACUGAGAUGCAAUCUAUCGUGCUACAGAAGAUUUAAGUGAGCACCCUCAAUAAAUCAAGCUGAAAUGAAUUUUCCACUAUGAAUUAUGUUGCAGACAGCUGCAAAAGCUACAUGACUGGCUUUUUUUUUUUUUUUUUUUGUAAGUUUGAGGCCAAAUCAUGAGAUUAAGGAUUGAGCUAAGGUUUGUGGUUGUAGAAAGGAAUCCAAAAAGAUUUUGCAUGCAUUAAUAUCUCUGAUGAGAACUGAAUCUACACAAAUACUUUGUUUCAUUGCCUUUGACAAUAGCUACAGAAAACACUCUUCUGUCUGAGCCUAUGAUUUGUGCAUACUUAAUGCAAGUCUGUCUUUGUAAGUAACAAGGCUUUUUACUUCAGCAAUCGAUCUGGGCUGGUUCCAUAGCCAGAGUUAAUUCUGGUCCAUGCCACCAUGAAGGCUGUGCUGUGGGUGACUAAGAUUCUAUUGCUCUGAAAGGCUGAUGAAAAUAUGGAGCAAAAUUUUUUACUCAGAGUAAUUAAGUGUAGCAGUAUUGACUUUUUGAAAGUUAUUGUAAGCUACCACAGCCAAGGAAAUGGCUCCAACUUUCCAUCACACUGUUUUUAUUUUGCUGUGGCUUCCAUGACUUUCAGCAGCCUCUUUCCAGUUACUGGAGGAAGAUGACAGCAUCCAGCAUUUCUUAUGGAAGCAUUUCAACUUAGACAGUGACAAUGUCUCCCAGUGUAUCAAAGAGCCCAGCUUAAACAAAUGACUAAUUUAUCCUGGAGAGUUCUGAAAAAAGGACACAGCUUCUGGGUGGAAUUUUUUAGAAGGCAAAUUCCUUCUGGAGUUUUCUCCAUCUUUCCUGACAGAUCAGAAAGCUGCAAGUAGAGAUUUCCAUUGCUGCAGCAAGAAAAUAGAAGGAUUCCAUCUCUUGGUAUCAAAGUAACCCAGCACAGGUGGUGUGCUCACUGCCAAAUACUCAGAGCUCUACAACAUCAACUGGAAGGAACAAAUCAUUAAUAUAGGAACCUUGUAACAUGCCAACAUACUCAAGGCUAUAAACAGGACAAUCAGUUGUGCCACCUUUGAAUUUGCAACACAAAAUCCCAAGUCAGGAAAUUACUUAAGUUUGGAACUUACAGGCAUGUGCUGAAGAUAAAGAGGGCAUAGCAUUAGACACAUAAAUAAUUUGAACAUUCCCCCCUCAGACAUGAAAACUUAUCAAUUCUCACUGUGAUUAUAUCUGGGGGUUGGUUGGGGUUUUUUCCAAGCACAUAUUGAAAUACAGGUCACUGUAUCAGGUACCCUGGUUGUGAACACCGCAAUUGGAUAAGGAAAAAAGAACCCACAAACGGCUGAGAAGUGGAUCAGUAUUGUUUGUCUAUUGCAAUGAAGUCGUGUACUUCAGCAUCAGUCAAAAUUUGCGUUUUUCUGCAUUGUAACAGACAACCAUUUAGUAGGCAUUUGCCAGCAAGUGUGACUUGCUAAUGCAAGAUUCCUGUAUUAAUUUAAUGGGAAUAUAAUUGUGUUGUAAAAGACAUAAUCUCAAGUAACCUACUAUGACAUUUACACUUGAUUACCAUAUCAAUGCAUGCAGAUACCUUUGCAUUACAGAUAUCUUUGGAGGUGUUCCUUGAAAAGUGCACAGACUAUGCAGUGUGCUGUAUUUCAAGCAAAGUCUCCACUAGGAAGGAGUUGAGGUGGUGUUGGCUUUUUGGUUAUAAAUUUGCCCACGGAGGGGAACCCUGGGCUGCCUGUACCUGUCUGGAUGCUGCUGAGCCAUUCCCCAGCUUCAAUCCAUGUGCAGGGCUUGUCUAUUAACAGCUCAUUGAAUGGAGGAGGGAGAAGAAGCUAGUGAGACCUCUCUUGGUAUUGUUCAGCAGUGACCCCGUCUCUCUCGGAUUGGUGGCCAGUGCUCGCUGAGCAGCGUUUGUCAGGACGUGUUGUUUUGCUGGAUAAUGGGGUAUUGUGUGAGCAGCCGUCUGGAUUAGCAGCAGGUAACAAUAAGCUG
This is a non-coding RNA of Taeniopygia guttata (zebra finch), 6807 nucleotides long. Lineage: Eukaryota; Metazoa; Chordata; Aves; Passeriformes; Estrildidae. The record is from RefSeq and is a predicted model, not a curated record.